GGGGUCAAACAUUUAUGGGAGAAGGAUGGGCAUGCGUGCCAUUAGCUAGUUGGCGGGGUAACGGCCCACCAAGGCGACGAUGGCUAGGGGACYUGAGAGGAUGGCCCCCCACACUGGUACUGAGACACGGACCAGACUCCUACGGGAGGCAGCAGUAAGGAAUAUUGGUCAAUGGGGGCAACCCUGAACCAGCCAUGCCGCGUGCAGGAAGACGGCCCUCUGGGUUGUAAACUGCUUUUAUUCGGGAAUAAACCUGCUUACGUGUAAGUAGCUGAAUGUACCGAAGGAAUAAGGAUCGGCUAACUCCGUGCCAGCAGCCGCGGUAAUACGGAGGAUCCAAGCGUUAUCCGGAUUUAUUGGGUUUAAAGGGUGCGUAGGCGGCCCAUUAAGUCAGGGGUGAAAGACGGUAGCUCAACUAUCGCAGUGCCCUUGAUACUGAUGGGCUUGAAUGGACUAGAGGUAGGCGGAAUGUGACAAGUAGCGGUGAAAUGCAUAGAUAUGUCACAGAACACCGAUUGCGAAGGCAGCUUACUAUGGUCUUAUUGACGCUGAGGCACGAAAGCGUG
This 566-nucleotide ribosomal RNA is filed under the name uncultured Bacteroidota bacterium. RNAcentral's name for it is "bacterial SSU rRNA". It matches the Rfam family "Bacterial small subunit ribosomal RNA", at positions 197 to 763 of the family's 1533-position model. Lineage: Bacteria; Pseudomonadati; Bacteroidota. The record is from RNAcentral.